AACGAACGCUGGCGGCAUGCCUAACACAUGCAAGUCGAACGAGACCUUCGGGUCUAGUGGCGCACGGGUGCGUAACGCGUGGGAACCUGCCCUUAGGUUCGGAAUAACUCCCCGAAAGGGGUGCUAAUACCGGAUAAUGUCUUCGGACCAAAGAUUUAUCGCCUUUGGAUGGGCCCGCGUUGGAUUAGCUAGUUGGUAGGGUAAAAGCCUACCAAGGCGACGAUCCAUAGCUGGUCUGAGAGGAUGAUCAGCCACACUGGGACUGAGACACGGCCCAGAAUCCUACGGGAGGCAGCAGUGGGGGAUAUUGGACAAUGGGCGAAAGCCUGAUCCAGCAAGGCCGCGUGAGUGAUGAAGGCCUGAGGGUUGUAAAGCUCUUUUACCCGGGAUGAUAAUGACAGUACCGGGAGAAUAAGCACCGGCUAACUCCGUG
Molecule: ribosomal RNA, 433 nt
Filed under: uncultured bacterium
Lineage: Bacteria
Description: partial 16S ribosomal RNA
Rfam family: Bacterial small subunit ribosomal RNA
Source: RNAcentral